GAAGCAAUAGCUCAGUGGUAGAGCCCCGCUUCGCGUGCGGGGAGACCCGGGUUCGAUUCCCGGCUGCUUCC
RNAcentral lists this transfer RNA (71 nucleotides) under Toxocara canis (dog roundworm). It matches the Rfam family "tRNA". From Rfam's summary of the family: Transfer RNA (tRNA) molecules are approximately 80 nucleotides in length. Their secondary structure includes four short double-helical elements and three loops (D, anti-codon, and T loops). Lineage: Eukaryota; Metazoa; Nematoda; Chromadorea; Rhabditida; Toxocaridae. The record is from Rfam by way of RNAcentral.